GCCGGGAUGGCGGAACUGGCAGACGCACACGAUUAAGGGUCGUGCGCCGCAAGGUGUGGGAGUUCAAAUCUCCCUCCCGGCA
RNAcentral lists this transfer RNA (82 nucleotides) under candidate division WOR-1 bacterium RIFOXYA12_FULL_43_27. RNAcentral describes it as "tRNA-Leu". It matches the Rfam family "tRNA". Rfam says of the family: Transfer RNA (tRNA) molecules are approximately 80 nucleotides in length. Their secondary structure includes four short double-helical elements and three loops (D, anti-codon, and T loops). RNAcentral also lists the same sequence under 3 other names. The record is from RNAcentral. Lineage: Bacteria; Bacillati.